RNAcentral lists this ribosomal RNA (468 nucleotides) under uncultured bacterium. RNAcentral's name for it is "partial 16S ribosomal RNA". It matches the Rfam family "Bacterial small subunit ribosomal RNA", at positions 28 to 507 of the family's 1533-position model. The record is from RNAcentral.
GACGAACGCUGGCGGCGUGCUUAACACAUGCCAGUCGAACGGAAAGGCCCUGCUUUUGUGGGGUGCUCGAGUGGCGAACGGGUGAGUAACACGUGAGUAACCUGCCCUUGACUUUGGGAUAACUUCAGGAAACUGGGGCUAAUACCGGAUAGGAGCUCCUGCUGCAUGGUGGGGGUUGGAAAGUUUCGGCGGUUGGGGAUGGACUCGCGGCUUAUCAGCUUGUUGGUGGGGUAGUGGCUUACCAAGGCUUUGACGGGUAGCCGGCCUGAGAGGGUGACCGGCGACAUUGGGACUGAGAUACGGACCAGACUGCUACGGGAGGCAGCAGUGGGGAAUAUUGCACAAUGGGCGGAAGCCUGAUGCAGCAACGCCGCGUGCGGGAUGACGGCCUUCGGGUUGUAAACCGCUUUCGCCUGUGACGAAGCGUGAGUGACGGUAAUGGGUAAAGAAGCACCGGCUAACUACGUG